This is a non-coding RNA of Heterocephalus glaber (naked mole-rat), 807 nucleotides long. The record is from RefSeq and is a predicted model, not a curated record. NCBI's taxonomy places the organism in Eukaryota, Metazoa, Chordata, Mammalia, Rodentia, Bathyergidae.
AAAUACAACUGGUGUUUAUGCACAAGUCCUGCUUUAUUUAUUUAUUUUAUUGUUUUCAUCAACAUCAAGUGGAGAAGCAGUAGAGAGAAAUCCAUUCCUAUGAAAACAUCCCCUGCUGCAUCCGGGACAUCCCUGUUCAUCCUCAUCUUUAUAUACCAACAUAUUGGCCAAAACAAACAACAGAUCUAUCCUGCGAAGAAGACAGGAGGAAAAUCCUUCAUGUUGCAGAUGAAGAAAGCGCGAUGGUAGCUUGCAACACAGGAAGGUGUGAAGACUACUGGAAAUGAUAAAUAUGGAGACUCCAACAAUCAUUUGGAUCCCUUUCUGAAGAUGAAUCUCUGCUUGCAUGGAACCACUGAAAGCUGAGAGAACAACUGACGGUCAUGGUCAGGGCAACUCUCUGGUGGAUACUCAAAGGUUCCCCAGUGGAAACGGGGUCCCAACAGCCUGACUGGGUAACCAGCAGAAAAAUCUCCACUUAUGCAUCAUCCCUGCCUGCACUCCUCAGUGAGGUGAGAGGUAACUCUCUCAGCAAUCUUCUGGUAUCCUCUGUCCCAGAGUGACCAGAGAUAACACUGUUAGAGCCCUCUGUUAAACCUCCAUUAAGAAUUGAGCCACAGGUUUGGACUUUUCCUCUCUGCUAGUAAGUUAGAAACUCCCCCUAAGCUUUUCUCCAACAUGUUGGGAGUUAACUUUAGAACUACCUUAUAGUUAGACUGCCCCUCCCUCCAGGAAGUCAGGCUGAGGCAGCUUACAACAACUGUUUGUCUUUCAGGGAGGAGAAAAGCUAUCAUCUAGUGAUUUACA